ACUGCUUUUGGUGGUUUCAAGAGCCGUUCACAGGUGCCUUGGCUUGUAGACAAAUACAUGAAAAAGGAAAUUAAGGUGGAUGAGUACAUCACCCAUAAUUUGACUCUUGGGGAGAUCAACAAGGCAUUUGAUCUGAUGCAUGAAGGUGGUUGCCUCCGGUGUGUGCUUAGUACGCAUGUGUAAGGUUAUUGUCUAUUAAGGACUGCUCAAUUGUCAUCUGUCUAAGGUUAUCUGUUAAAGCCUCCCUCAAGUGUUUUGUGGAACAGAAUGCUUCAAUUUCC
This 281-nucleotide unclassified non-coding RNA is filed under the name Hevea brasiliensis (rubber tree). Lineage: Eukaryota; Viridiplantae; Streptophyta; Magnoliopsida; Malpighiales; Euphorbiaceae. The record is from RNAcentral.